AAAUAAGUAAGCUAAAUAUUACAAAAGCUUUUAGGUUCAUACCCUAAAUAUAGAUUAAUUUCUCUUAUUUU
RNAcentral lists this transfer RNA (71 nucleotides) under Formica candida. RNAcentral's name for it is "tRNA-Met". The record is from RNAcentral. Lineage: Eukaryota; Metazoa; Arthropoda; Insecta; Hymenoptera; Formicidae.